This 253-nucleotide ribosomal RNA is filed under the name uncultured bacterium. RNAcentral's name for it is "partial 16S ribosomal RNA". It matches the Rfam family "Bacterial small subunit ribosomal RNA", at positions 524 to 776 of the family's 1533-position model. The record is from RNAcentral.
UACGUAGGGUGCGAGCGUUAAUCGGAAUUACUGGGCGUAAAGCGUGCGCAGGCGGUCUCGUAAGACAGGUGUGAAAUCCCCGGGCUCAACCUGGGAACUGCGCUUGUGACUGCGAGGCUGGAGUGCGGAAGAGGGAGGUGGAAUUCCACGUGUAGCAGUGAAAUGCGUAGAGAUGUGGAGGAACACCGAUGGCGAAGGCAGCCUCCUGGUCCAGCACUGACGCUCAUGCACGAAAGCGUGGGGAGCAAACAGG